This is a long non-coding RNA of Chelonia mydas (Green sea turtle), 1190 nucleotides long. RefSeq lists it as uncharacterized. The record is from RefSeq and is a predicted model, not a curated record. The transcript is spliced from 2 exons. Lineage: Eukaryota; Metazoa; Chordata; Testudines; Cheloniidae.
GCAUAGAGCUUUUUGCAACGUAGUUAGAGUGAUACAAUGCCAGGGUGGACAGUGCACUUCCGUGUUUUGCCAUAAUUGGGCUCCAGGAGGUGUCCCACAAUGGCCAUCAUGACCCUUCUGGUCAGCAGUUUGAACUCUGCUGCCCUGCACUCAGCCACCUAUUUAAAGACACACGAAUUGUAGAACUUCCUCUUCCUGUUUGCUGUGAAUGGACUGUUCACACAGCAUCUUUCCAGCUGACCAUGCUUGCUUUCUGCAACAGAUGUGCUCCCACAUGGAGUACACCAAAGCUGUUGGAUUUGCUGGGUCUGUGGGGAGAGGAGGCUGUGCAGUUGCAGCUUCACUCAAACUGUAGGAACUUUGAUAUCUACUGGCAGAGUGGUCAUGGCAUGCAGGAGACAUGAAAGGGACAUGCAGCAGUGCUGUGCUAAGAUCAAGGAGCUGAGGUGGCAUACCAGAAGGCAAGUUAGGGCAACAGAUACUCUGGUGCAGUGCCGAUGACAUGUAACUUCUACAAGGAGCUGCACGCCAUCCUGGGUGGUGACCCCAUCACCAAGAGCCCCAUGGAUACUUCGGGGGGACUGGAGGCAGCAGCCAGUGGAGUCAACCCUGAGGAUGAAGUGGUGGAUGAUUUAUGCAGAUGUGCCCUUGAGGACCAAGCCCUACACACUGGUGGAGCACCUCUGUCAGAAAAGGAGGCAAACCAGGAGGAGUAAGGAGGAGGGUAUGUUUAGAAAAGUGCUCCUGUCAAUAGAUGCAGCACAUAGCGAAACAAGAGCAUGGAGAGAGACAAUUAAUGAAAAACUCAGGUUGGAUAGCCUGGAAAGGAGACAUGGACUGGAUCAGAUGAUACAUGGACAGUAGUGGAUGAUUACGCGACUGGAGGGACAGAGGUGGUCAAGUCCCUUGUAGUGCAGUCUGAGCACAUCUGUGCAUGACUCCCCAUGCAGUGAAUACAGAAUGCUGUUCCAUGCUCUCCCCAAACUCCCCCCCAUACAUUCCUCACAUGUUCCCAUUCCGUCACAGCACCCCUUGCAAUCCACCCCUAGGGCCUGGUUUUAUGAUGAAAGCUGGAGUUACACACAGCUGUGAGAACCUGAACCAAGAGACUGCUCCUCAUUGCCAUGUCCCCUGUUUGCAAAAAAUAUAUGUUUUAAUCUUUUAAGUAAAGCCUAGUAUUUGAAACAAAA